This 75-nucleotide antisense RNA is filed under the name Micromonospora nigra. Its description in RNAcentral is "ASpks TB sRNA". It matches the Rfam family "ASpks TB sRNA". The record is from Rfam by way of RNAcentral. Lineage: Bacteria; Bacillati; Actinomycetota; Actinomycetes; Micromonosporales; Micromonosporaceae.
CUUGAUCGAACCCAACCACAACGGCCGGCCGGGUUCCCUGUCCUGUCCGUACGUGGUCAGCAGGGCCUGCACCUC